This 927-nucleotide ribosomal RNA is filed under the name uncultured Methanosarcina sp. RNAcentral describes it as "bacterial SSU rRNA". It matches the Rfam family "Archaeal small subunit ribosomal RNA", at positions 1 to 925 of the family's 1478-position model. The record is from RNAcentral. Lineage: Archaea; Methanobacteriati; Methanobacteriota; Methanomicrobia; Methanosarcinales; Methanosarcinaceae.
AUUUUCCGGUUGAUCCUGCCGGAGGUUACUGCUAUCGGUGUUCGACUAAGCCAUGCAAGUCAUAUGUUCUUCGUGAACAUGGCAUACUGCUCAGUAACACGUGGAUAACCUGCCCUUGGGUCUGGGAUAACCCCGGGAAACUGGGGAUAAUACCGGAUAACGCAUAUGUGCUGGAAUGCUUUAUGCGUAAAACGGAUUCGUCCGCCCAAGGAUGGGUCUGCGGCCUAUCAGGUAGUAGUGGGUGUAAUGUACCUACUAGCCAACAACGGGUACGGGUUGUGAGAGCAAGAGCCCGGAGAUGGAUUCUGAGACAUGAAUCCAGGCCCUACGGGGCGCAGCAGGCGCGAAAACUUUACAAUGCGGGAAACCGUGAUAAGGGAACACCGAGUGCCAGCAUCAUAUGCUGGCUGUCCAGAUGUGUAAAGUACAUCUGUUAGCAAGGGCCGGGCAAGACCGGUGCCAGCCGCCGCGGUAACACCGGCGGCCCGAGUGGUGACCGUUAUUAUUGGGUCUAAAGGGUCCGUAGCCGGUUUGGUCAGUCCUCCGGGAAAUCUGAUAGCUUAACUGUUAGGCUUUCGGGGGAUACUGCCAGGCUUGGAACCGGGAGAGGUAAGAGGUACUACAGGGGUAGGAGUGAAAUCUUGUAAUCCCUGUGAGACCACCUGUGGCGAAGGCGUCUUACCAGAACGGGUUCGACGGUGAGGGACGAAAGCUGGGGGCACGAACCGGAUUAGAUACCCGGGUAGUCCCAGCCGUAAACUAUGCUCGCUAGGUGUCAGGCAUGGCGCGACCGUGUCUGGUGCCGCAGGGAAGCCGCGAAGCGAGCCACCUGGGAAGUACGGCCGCAAGGCUGAAACUUAAAGGAAUUGGCGGGGGAGCACAACAACGGGUGGAGCCUGCGGUUUAAUUGGAUUCAACGCCGGAAAU